ACGUCUGUAUCUGUAUCGUCAUCGACUGACUCAGAACCUGACGGCAGCCAUGACACUUGUCCUCAGCAUCCUUCUGUGCGCCUCGCUUCUGCCAGCUUUGACUGCGGCAGGUACCGUGUACACACGUUGGGGAAGCAAGGGGUGUUCCUCACCCAAGUCGACUGUGUAUUCAGGUUAUGUGGCCGGCAGUUGGUACA
Pomacea canaliculata is the source of this 197-nucleotide long non-coding RNA. RefSeq lists it as uncharacterized. The transcript has 3 exons. The record is from RefSeq and is a predicted model, not a curated record. NCBI's taxonomy places the organism in Eukaryota, Metazoa, Mollusca, Gastropoda, Architaenioglossa, Ampullariidae.